This 253-nucleotide ribosomal RNA is filed under the name Coprococcus eutactus. RNAcentral's name for it is "partial 16S ribosomal RNA". It matches the Rfam family "Bacterial small subunit ribosomal RNA", at positions 524 to 776 of the family's 1533-position model. The record is from RNAcentral. Lineage: Bacteria; Bacillati; Bacillota; Clostridia; Lachnospirales; Lachnospiraceae. RNAcentral also lists the same sequence under 2 other names.
UACGUAUGGUGCAAGCGUUAUCCGGAUUUACUGGGUGUAAAGGGUGCGUAGGUGGUGAGACAAGUCUGAAGUGAAAAUCCGGGGCUUAACCCCGGAACUGCUUUGGAAACUGCCUGACUAGAGUACAGGAGAGGUAAGUGGAAUUCCUAGUGUAGCGGUGAAAUGCGUAGAUAUUAGGAGGAACACCAGUGGCGAAGGCGACUUACUGGACUGCUACUGACACUGAGGCACGAAAGCGUGGGGAGCAAACAGG